GGGCCCAUAGCUCAGUAGGCAGAGCGCCAAUAUGGCAUGUUGGAGGUCGUGGGUUCAAAUCCCACUGGGUCCA
Molecule: transfer RNA, 73 nt
Filed under: Candidatus Parcubacteria bacterium
Lineage: Bacteria; Candidatus Parcubacteria
Description: tRNA-Ala
Rfam family: tRNA
About the family: Transfer RNA (tRNA) molecules are approximately 80 nucleotides in length. Their secondary structure includes four short double-helical elements and three loops (D, anti-codon, and T loops).
Source: RNAcentral